Ixodes scapularis (black-legged tick) is the source of this 42-nucleotide non-coding RNA. Lineage: Eukaryota; Metazoa; Arthropoda; Arachnida; Ixodida; Ixodidae. The record is from Rfam.
CCUCAAGGACGACCUCGAGGACGAUGCCUAGAGGACGACCUC